RNAcentral lists this ribosomal RNA (873 nucleotides) under uncultured bacterium. Its description in RNAcentral is "bacterial SSU rRNA". It matches the Rfam family "Bacterial small subunit ribosomal RNA", at positions 1 to 864 of the family's 1533-position model. The record is from RNAcentral.
UAGAGUUUGAUCCUGGCUCAGGAUGAACGCUAGCGACAGGCUUAACACAUGCAAGUCGAGGGGCAGCGGGGCAGGAAGCUUGCUUUCUGCCGCCGGCGACCGGCGCACGGGUGAGUAACACGUAUGCAACCUGGCCGUGACAGAUGGAUAACCGGGAGAAAUCCCGCCUAAUACAGCAUGACGCCGGGAAGGGACAUCCCUUUCCGGCCAAAGGGGGCGACUCCGGUCACGGAUGGGCAUGCGGCGCAUUAGCUUGACGGCGGGGUAACGGCCCACCGUGGCGACGAUGCGUAGGGGUUCUGAGAGGAAGGUCCCCCACACUGGUACUGAGACACGGACCAGACUCCUACGGGAGGCAGCAGUGAGGAAUAUUGGUCAAUGGGAGAGAUCCUGAACCAGCCAAGCCGCGUGAGGGAAGACGGCCCUAUGGGUUGUAAACCUCUUUUGUCGGAGAACAAAACCCGGGACGUGUCCCGGACUGCGUGUAUCCGAAGAAAAAGCAUCGGCUAACUCCGUGCCAGCAGCCGCGGUAAUACGGAGGAUGCGAGCGUUAUCCGGAUUUAUUGGGUUUAAAGGGUGCGUAGGCGGUCCGUUAAGUCAGCGGUAAAAUUGCGGGGCUCAACCCCGUCGAGCCGUUGAAACUGGCGUGCUCGAGUUGGAGAGAAGUAUGCGGAAUUCGUGGUGUAGCGGUGAGAUGCAUAGAUAUCACGAAGAACCCCGAUUGCGAAGGCAGCAUACCGGCUCCACACUGACGCUGAGGCACGAAAGCGUGGGUAUCGAACAGGAUUAGAUACCCUGGUAGUCCACGCAGUAAACGAUGAAUGCUAGGUGUCCGGGGCUUUGUGUCCUGGGUGCCACAGCGAAAGCGUUAAU